RNAcentral lists this ribosomal RNA (406 nucleotides) under uncultured bacterium. RNAcentral describes it as "partial 16S ribosomal RNA". It matches the Rfam family "Bacterial small subunit ribosomal RNA", at positions 29 to 526 of the family's 1533-position model. The record is from RNAcentral.
AUUGAACGCUGGCGGCAGGCUUAACACAUGCAAGUCGAGCGAGCGGCGGACGGGUGAGUAAUGUGGGGGAAACCGCCUGAUGGAGGGGGAUAACUACUGGAAACGGUAGCUAAUACCGCAUACCAUCAGAUGUGCCCAGAUGGGAUGGGCUAGGUGGUGGGGUAAUGGCUCACCUAGGCGACGACCCCUAUCUUGUCAGAGAGGAUGACCAGCCACACUGGAACUGAGACACGGUCCAGACUCCUACGGGAGGCAGCAGUGGGGAAUAUUGCACAAUGGGCGCAAGCCUGAUGCAGCCAUGCCGCGUGUGUGAAGAAGGCCUGCGGGUUGUAAAGCACUGUCAGCGAGGAGGCGUUACUCGCAGAAGAAGCACCGGCUAACUCCGUGCCAGCAGCCGCGGUAAUUC